Molecule: ribosomal RNA, 438 nt
Filed under: uncultured bacterium
Lineage: Bacteria
Description: partial 16S ribosomal RNA
Rfam family: Bacterial small subunit ribosomal RNA
Source: RNAcentral
GAUGAACGCUGGCGGUAUGCUUAACACAUGCAAGUCGAACGCAGACUUUCGGGUCUGAGUGGCGGACGGGUGCGUACCGCGUGAUAAUCUGUCUUCAGGUUGGGGACAACCACGGGAAACGGUGGCUAAUACCCAAUGUGCCGUCAAGGGGAAAGAGUAAUUGCCUGAAGAUGAGCUCGCGUCUGAUUAGCUAGUUGGUGCGGUAAGAGCUCACCAAGUCGACGAGCAGUAGCUGGUCUGAGAGGACGAUCAGCCACACUGGGACUGAGACACGGCACAGACGACUAUGGGAGGAAGCAGUGGGGAAUUUUCCGCAAAGGGCGAGAGUCUGACGAAGCUAUACCGCGUGAGGGAGGAAGGAUCUUUGGUUGAAAACCUCUUUGCUCAGGGAAGAAGGCAAUGACGGUACCUGAGGAAUCAGCAUCGGCUAACUCCGUG